Molecule: ribosomal RNA, 378 nt
Filed under: Stenotoxodera porioni
Lineage: Eukaryota; Metazoa; Arthropoda; Insecta; Mantodea; Toxoderidae
Description: partial 12S ribosomal RNA
Source: RNAcentral
AUUAGAUACCCUAUUAUUUUUAUUGUUAAUUUGUAAGCUUGAGUAUUAAUAGAUAUGAUCUUUAAACUUAAAGAAUUUGGCGGUAUUAUAGUCUAUUUAGAGGAAUCUGUUAUGUAAUUGAUAAUCCGCGUUGAAUCUUACUUAUAUUAUUAUCUUGUAUACCGCUGUUUAUGAAUAUACUUUUAGGUUAUUUUCUUGAUGUAAUGUUAAAAAGGAUUUCAAGUCAAGGUGCAGUAAUAUAUAAGUUGGGUAAUGGAUUACAUUAAAUUGUAUUUAUUACGGAUAAUUAUUUGAAUAUUAUUUGAAGGUGGAUUUAAUUGUAAUUUUAUGAAGAUUAUUAAAAUGAUUAUUAGCUCUAUAAUAUGCACACAUCGCCCG